Long non-coding RNA from Ailuropoda melanoleuca (giant panda), 2544 nucleotides. RefSeq lists it as uncharacterized. The transcript is spliced from 5 exons. Lineage: Eukaryota; Metazoa; Chordata; Mammalia; Carnivora; Ursidae. The record is from RefSeq and is a predicted model, not a curated record.
CACCUGCUCUGUGGAAUGGGCUUUGAUCACAAUGGUUAGAGUUCUGAGGUUGCCUCUUUACAAUGGGUCAUAUCUGGCAAGCCAGUAAAUCAUCAGGCUUUAGGCUGCAUGUGCAUAAGUGGGGCUGUCCAGGGGGCAGGCAUACUGAAUUGGUCUGGGGACCAUCCCACACCUGCUGGAGGCCAAGGACAGAUGGCACGUUUUCCUGGGUCACAGCUACCCAGCCUGGUUGGAGCUUGGAGGGUCAAGUGAGUGCACUGUCUUCUGGAGGCCCGGGAGAGGGCUCUUUCACUCCACUCCUCCAUUUGGAUCGAUUACAGGAGUCUAGUGCAAUGAGCUAAAAUAGAGGAGACCCACUGGCUUAUGGAGGACCCUGGGAUCAUGACCAGAGCAGAAGGCAAAUACUUAACCAACUGAGCCAACCAGGCACCCCAUUUUAAGAAAAGAGAAAUACCAUGUGAAGACAGAGCCACACAGGAGAGAAUGUCAUGUGGCCAUGAAGACAGAGACUGAAACGCUGUGGUUACAAGCCAAGGAAAGCCUGGCGCUGUUGAAAAAUAAGGAGAACUGUUAUCAUCAUCUCUAUUCUGAGGAGUAGACAGGCGAUUAUGAAAAAGGAAGAGCUAAGACAGGGAAGAGAACCACUAUGCACGGAGCACCAUUAGAAACAUCUCAUCUGAUUCUGACACCCUGUAUGUGGCAGGACCCCCUUUCCACCAGAAAAGACAUAAUGAACCGCCGGGAUGGCUGUCUCCUGUGCAUGGUUCCCAGGAUGCGCUGCUGGUCUGCUUGCUGCCACUGUGAUUUCCAAACUCUUGGCUGAGCUGGGAUGUUAUGUUUCUAAUUAGACAACUGUCUGCUGUGUGGGCUAAUAGCAUCUUUGGUGAUACAGGGUGACUGCUGUAAUGUUUCAUAGCCAUUCAUAAAAGCACAAUCUAAAAGGAAAGCGCUAACAUGUAAUUUGCAGUCAUGACUUCCAGCACUAAUUGAGAAAGUGUCUCUGUGGUCCCGGGGUUUGAGCCUCUGCCUGCUAGUUCUCUGAAGGGUGUGGGACACCAGCAACCUGCCCAGCUGCUUUGUCUUCCCAUCAGGACUGCCUGCCUCUGGGAAACUCCCUAACUUCUGAAACAAGUGUUCUGGGGUGUUCCCAUGUGAAUGGUGUCACCUGGGAAGCUGUUACUUAAGCCUGUGAGGCUGAGCUGAAACAGAGGAAGAACAAAAGGGUAUGAUGUCCUUUUUUCAGGAUGCUUAAUUUGCUCUGAAUUCUGGUGAGUAGUUUUCUAGGACCACAAUGACUUGCUCUCACCUGAUGGCCAACCAUAUUUUCUUUGUCCUGGGAUGUGCUUAUCAGAAAAAUGGGCCAGACUCGAUAGACAGAGCCAGUUCAACUUUGGGGAUUUUGCUCAUGGAGCAUCACGCACAAGGGUAGGGUUAGAGCACACGGAUUAGAGUUACCUUUCUCAAAGGAAGUACUGGCCUUUCUGGCCCUGGGGAAAGACCCAAGCACAUCUUUACGUUUCUCUCUGCCAGGACAUCCAGUUCUUGGGCUUAAUAAUUCCAAAUACAGAGGUCUGUCAUUUAAAUGAAAAAAAAUCACAAAUUAUACACAAUUUUCUGGAUUUAGAGGGGAUAAAGGGGAUCGCCAUUGGAUGUAUAGUAUGUUUGAGAGCUGGAUUAAGAUGUGAGUAUAUAAAAAAUACAGAAUAACAAUAAAAAACAGAUGCUCCAGAGAAAGCAAAGUAGUCUACAAGUAUGUAAUGAUCCCCAAACAAAUCAAUCACGUAAAAUCUAUAGAUUUGAAGACAGGGAUUUUACACAACUGAUAGAAAAUAGACAACAUAAAAUAGAAAUUAUCGUGCAUGUAUCCUAUGCAAAUAGAUUAGAAUGCAGACACUCACACUUACAGCCUUAUCUUCCCAUCUGACCCACUCACACAGAUGACAGGGCUCCAUAAACACUGUUCUCUGUCUUCCAUUUCUUUUAUCUUAAUGAUAUAUAUUGUAGGAAUUUUCAUAUUGGUACAUACCAUUCCUUUUAUAGAAUUCUAGCACAUUAUUCCUUUUAAUGGUUCAAAGUUUUUCACUGUAUAAAUUUACCUUAAUCUAAAUCCACAAUCACCUAUUAAUGAACAUGUAGAUUGUUUCCAGUUUGGAGCAUUUUCCUUUUUUAUUUCUUCUCCAAGCAAUACGGCAAUGAAUAUCCUUAGACAUAAAUCACUGAGUGCUUGUGUGGGUAUGUCUGUAGAAAAAAAAUUUGUUUGGAGUGGAAUUUCUGAGCUAAAGAGUAUUUUAAUAGAUAUUGACCUUUUGCCAAAUUGAUCUUCAAAGAGUUUAUGCCAGUAUAACCUCCCAUUACCACCAUGUAGAUAUGUGUUGCUGCAAGAUCUUGCCCACUCCAUGUUUUGCAAUCCUUUUUAAUUCUUGCCAAUCUGUUAGGUAAAAAUAAACACAAUAUCCUGUUGUUUUAAUUUGCAUUUACUAAAUCACUGUGUGAAGUUAAGAUUCUGUUCCUGUCAUUCUGAGGGAUUUGUUUUUCUUUUUCUGA